GCAUCUAAAUCUUUCCCGUACCUUGCUACGCAGUGCAGGCUCGGGGACAUGUGAUGCUAAAGCAGUACAGAGCAAAUCCAGGCAGGUUUAUCUUCUCUUGCAGAAAGACUUGUCUCUACACCUCUGAAACAUUU
This is a small nucleolar RNA of Eublepharis macularius, 134 nucleotides long. RefSeq annotates it as small nucleolar RNA SNORA55. The record is from RefSeq and is a predicted model, not a curated record. The transcript has a single exon. Lineage: Eukaryota; Metazoa; Chordata; Lepidosauria; Squamata; Eublepharidae.